Molecule: ribosomal RNA, 503 nt
Filed under: Hypoborus ficus
Lineage: Eukaryota; Metazoa; Arthropoda; Insecta; Coleoptera; Curculionidae
Description: LSU rRNA
Source: RNAcentral
AGUUCAAGAGUACGUGAAACCGUUUAGGGGUAAACCUGAGAAACCCGAAAGGUCGAAGGAAGAAAUUCAUUCGCGUUUCGACGUAGGCGACGAAUCGUCGUGCGACGGAAUCACGCGCGUUCGCGCGCGUGUUUUCGCGCCUUCGAUUCGUUCGAACCGGCGACGAACGUGUGCACUUUUCUUCUGGUAGGACGUCGCGAUUCGUCGAGUGUCGAUCUACGGUUCGCGGCGGAGCCCGUUCGUACGUUUUCGGACGGUUAACGGACGGACCCGCGACAUCCCGAUCGACUCGCUCGACGAUAUACGAAAGGUUGGAGGCCGCUCGUUUCAGGAGCGUUCGACUCGCGGCAAGCGCGUCGGAUGCGUCGACGAUCGGACCCGGUGCCGAUUUCGACCUCCGACGACUGUUAGCCGCGAAGUUCUCGAACAGACCUUCUCUCUCACGAGAUGCGAAACCGAUCUGCGACGCUAUAGCUUUGGGUACUUUCAGGACCCGUCUUGAA